ACCUCAAGAUGAGAUUUCCCAUAGCGUAAGCUAGUAAGACUCCUGGAAGAACACCAGGUUGAUAGGUCAGAGAUGUAAGCAUGGCAACAUGUUAAGUUGACUGAUACUAAUAAGUCGAGGGCUUGACCAAAA
Molecule: ribosomal RNA, 132 nt
Filed under: Clostridium sporogenes
Lineage: Bacteria; Bacillati; Bacillota; Clostridia; Eubacteriales; Clostridiaceae
Description: partial 23S ribosomal RNA
Rfam family: Bacterial large subunit ribosomal RNA
Source: RNAcentral